This 63-nucleotide transfer RNA is filed under the name Psylliodes circumdatus. RNAcentral's name for it is "tRNA-Thr". Lineage: Eukaryota; Metazoa; Arthropoda; Insecta; Coleoptera; Chrysomelidae. The record is from RNAcentral.
GUUUUAGUAAUUUAAUAAAAAUAUUGGUCUUGUAAAUCAAAUUUAAGAAUUUCUUCUAAAACU